CAUAUUAGACAUCAGCUACUUGAGUUGGCAAGGGGAUUCACAAAUCAAGUUCAGGGUAGAGGUCAGAACUGCAGAUACAAAUUUGAAAGUCAUCAGCAUAGGUAUGAGCUUUAAAACCACUUGAGGGACCAGUGUAAAUUACAGAUGAGAAGCGCAAGCUCUGAGCAAAGAAAAUUGGUAAAAAGAAAGAAAAUUGGACUGCUUGUGUAUGUGUGUGUGUGUGUGUGUGUGUGUGAGGGUGGGAAGGGAUGUGUGUGUGUGUGUGGCAGCUAGCUAUGAUUCAUAUUGGUAUUGUGACAGAAAACUCGUCUUUAAGUGGAGUUUGGUCAUCAUUUCUUUCAGAGCCUUUCUUGAUAGUCGCUAGUACUCCAGAUUAGAGGCUACUUUAUGAUUCAUAAAAAGCUUCCUAGUGUCAACUGCACCCUUCCCAGUACAUGACACUCCUGACUUGGAGUUUGAUAAGGCUAUGCAUUUCUCUCCUUCCAGCUCCGAUGGGGUGUUUAAGAAUGAGAGCAAGUUUCUUCAGUGUUGUCGGCCCCUAUCUCUCCCAUGGCCUGCCCUCGUCUCACCUCUCACCCCUCCAAAUCAAGGCAUGUCUGAGCUCGGUCUGCCCAGGACUGUUGAUGAGCUUUCGCUUCUGCUUUGUUUCUGAACUAACAUGUGUUCUUCAGAACGGCUCGCACGGCCCCGUGGGAUUAUGACAGCUCUCAGCCGAGCUCUGCCAGCUAUUAAUAGAAAUACUAUGAGGUGAGUUUGAAAGUCAGGAUGGAAGCCUCCUAAUGCUUGUUGCCACAGUGGCCAGUUGAUGUCACUCCCAGACUUAGGGAGAAAGUAAACAUGCAGCUUGAUCGCAUGUUUGCAUGCGUGCUCAGUCGUGUCUGACUUCUGUGACCCCGUGGACUGUAUCCCGCCAGGCUCCUCUGUCC
This 926-nucleotide long non-coding RNA is filed under the name Bos indicus x Bos taurus (hybrid cattle). RNAcentral describes it as "lncRNA (ENSBIXG00000006729.1)". Lineage: Eukaryota; Metazoa; Chordata; Mammalia; Artiodactyla; Bovidae. The record is from RNAcentral.